GUGAGACAACGCUGUAGAGCCCACUGAUGCAGCCUGAUCUGCCAGGAGAUGACAGCGUUCUCUGCUUUUAUGUACAAGUACAGUAUCAGAGGUCAGAAACCAUUUUAUCUGUCACAACACUAGUCCAGUUGUGGGACAGGAAUCAGUGGUUUGAAGAAUUUUCACCAAGUGAAACGUUGAAUGCAAGUGUGCAAGAGAACCUGGGAUUAGAAGAGAAUCAUGCCUUCACAAAGAGGAGAAGAUACCCAGUGAAAACUAAACUGAAGACAUAACAAGAUGCUAAAUUGGUAAUCUGUGUAAAUGAUAUAAGCAUGUCCCAUGAUUAAAAAGUAGGCAUG
This is a long non-coding RNA of Pristis pectinata (smalltooth sawfish), 338 nucleotides long. RefSeq lists it as uncharacterized. NCBI's taxonomy places the organism in Eukaryota, Metazoa, Chordata, Chondrichthyes, Rhinopristiformes, Pristidae. The transcript has 3 exons. The record is from RefSeq and is a predicted model, not a curated record.